The sequence is a small nuclear RNA, 91 nucleotides long. Its record names the gene U5. It matches the Rfam family "U5 spliceosomal RNA". From Rfam's summary of the family: U5 RNA is a component of both types of known spliceosome. The record is from Ensembl.
UCGCUUGGGCUUAUCUUCAUCACGUACAAAACUUUUGCCUUUUACUAAAGAUUUCCAUGGAGAGGGGCGUCAACAAAUAGAGCUAAAUAGA